RNAcentral lists this ribosomal RNA (326 nucleotides) under uncultured eukaryote. Its description in RNAcentral is "partial 18S ribosomal RNA". It matches the Rfam family "Eukaryotic small subunit ribosomal RNA", at positions 1470 to 1796 of the family's 1831-position model. The record is from RNAcentral.
CCCUUAGAUGUUCUGGGCCGCACGCGCGCUACACUGAUGCACUCAACGAGUCUCACCUUGACCGAAAGGUCCGGGAAACCUUCGAACUUGCAUCGUGAUGGGGAUAGAUUAUUGCAACUAUUAAUCUUCAACGAGGAAUACCUAGUAGGCGCGUGUCAUCAGCGCGCGUCGAUUACGUCCCUGCCCUUUGUACACACCGCCCGUCGCACCUACCGAUUGAAUGGUCCGGUGAAAUCUUCGGAUCUGAGAGAUGUCUGAUUAAUUUCGGACGCCUUUUGGAAAAGUUGCUUAAACCUUACCAUUUAGAGGAAGGUGAAGUCGUAACA